GGUCUAUCGUUAUGGUAACAGAAGAUUUUGAAAGUCUUCACUAGACGUUCAAUUCGUCUAUAGACCU
Molecule: transfer RNA, 67 nt
Filed under: Glycera cf. tridactyla FS20
Lineage: Eukaryota; Metazoa; Annelida; Polychaeta; Phyllodocida; Glyceridae
Description: tRNA-Ser
Source: RNAcentral